UGGUAAUUUUCUCCUAGUAACAGAUAACAAAUGUGUGUAAUAGGUUAAGCUGCUAUUUUAGUGUGCAGAAGAGUUGGCAGUCAGAAAGCUAGUCAGUUCAGCUCAGAUCCACCUCUGGCAGAAUUCUAUUCAUGCUGCAUUAAACUACAUCUAAGCUGAUAUGUAGAUUUGUUUUCUGCAAAUGUGGUUCUUGACCUCUAAGCACAGAAGUUUUAUGCUUACUGUUAUAAGCACUUGCAACCUUUGCUUCGGUGGACAUAUGUGAAACUUUCUGGGCCUGAAAACAUCAUUUCAGAUGUUUUCUCUGACAUCUGAAUAUUGAUCUUUCCUCACCCAGCAAUAUUUCUGCAUCAUCACUGGUCUAAGUCCUCGUUGUGAGAGGAAACUCAAGACAUUUGGAGCCUAGAAGGGAGAAAUGGAAGAGAUGGCAUAGUGACCAGGUGAUGGAGUGCAGGAGUGCCAAUUAAGGAAGGCAUGAAGUCUGUCUUUAUACUCGUAUCAGGCUCUGCCCCAGAGACUAGUGCCAGUGAACUUGCUAAAAAACACAGCGAAGAGUCAAACACUGAGGAUUUCUGUCACAUUCUGGCAGUGAUUCUGAGGGGAUCUUGUGCAAAUAAACCUUGCUGUACUAUGUUUUAAAUCACAAACAAUGAAAAUAAAGAUAACAAUUAAAAUGCAUGUAUAUAUGUGUAAUUAUGGUUAAGAUAUCUCUGUUUACAAAGCAAAGCAAUUCAUCUAAUUAUACCCACAAGAACACAGUGCAACAGCCCAAACAAUUUAUAAAAAUAAUUUAUUUUGGCUUAUCUAUUCUGUUUCUAUUUAUAUCACCCUGCAUGAAAGUACUCAGCC
Molecule: non-coding RNA, 849 nt
Organism: Vicugna pacos (alpaca)
Lineage: Eukaryota; Metazoa; Chordata; Mammalia; Artiodactyla; Camelidae
Source: RefSeq, a predicted model, not a curated record